Molecule: ribosomal RNA, 249 nt
Filed under: uncultured Phycisphaerae bacterium
Lineage: Bacteria; Pseudomonadati; Planctomycetota; Phycisphaerae
Description: partial 16S ribosomal RNA
Rfam family: Bacterial small subunit ribosomal RNA
Source: RNAcentral
UAACGAAUCUUCCGCAAUGCACGAAAGUGUGACGGAGCGACGCCGCGUGUAGGACGAAGCCCUUCGGGGUGUAAACUACUGUCAGGGGAAAGAAAGUACUGAUCUACCCCAGAGGAAGGCACGGCUAACUCUGUGCCAGCAGCCGCGGUAAGACAGAGGUGCCGAGCGUUAGGCGGAAUCACUGGGCUUAAAGCGUGUGUAGGCGGAUGCCUAAGUACCUUGUGAAAUCCCACGGCUUAACCGUGGAAC